Long non-coding RNA from Serinus canaria (Common canary), 4773 nucleotides. RefSeq lists it as uncharacterized. The transcript has 3 exons. The record is from RefSeq and is a predicted model, not a curated record. NCBI's taxonomy places the organism in Eukaryota, Metazoa, Chordata, Aves, Passeriformes, Fringillidae.
GCAGAGAUGCACCUGUGGUUCAUCUGAGCCCAUCAUCUCUGGCUCUCCCUCCUCUGCUUUCCUGUGCACUGUAGUCACAGGAAAAGGCAUGAAAUACUUCAAUAAGGGGGUGCAUUCCUCAUCCCCUCCAAUACUCUUGGGUGUUUGAUUGCUUCUAGGCUGUGGCUUUUGUUGUUCUGUUCUCAUUUACUUUCCUUUUUCAACUACAUAUCAAGUUCUUUCCUGAUCUGGCUUCAUGUGGUGGCUAAUGGAACAAAAUUGAUGCAAUUGCUCCAAAACCAGGCUUUUAGCCAGUAGAUUCUAAUUAAAGCAACCCUUUUUUAUUUCUUACAGGGAAAAAAAAAUCUUUCCGAGGGCCCACUUUCUUUGUAUCAAAUGAAUAUAUAUGCAAUAAUUUCUCAGCCUGAUGGAGACAGAAGUUGAAAUAUGCUUGGAGCAGUUAUAGCCAACCAUAUGUUCUCCAGGGAGAUGGUUUCUUUGUUCUUGCCUGCUUCUUCCAUGUGCUUGGUUGCUUAAACAGAUGGAGGUGAGGAGAUUUUCCCUGCUUCCAGGAAUAAAACCCCAAACUCCACACCUACAAACAUGAUUAAAAUUAACCAGGUAAAUUCCAUGUGUGUGGGGUAGGUUCUCAGUAACCAAAGCUGAGUGGAACUGUGAAAGGGUGGAGUUAAGCUGCCUUGUUAUGACAUGGACUGCUCGUUGUGCUGGCUGGAUCUAAUCUGGUGCUGGGGGAAUUACCUUAUCUCCAAACCUCAUCUCCCUUCCAAAUCCACCCUAAUGUCAGACUGAGAAUUCAGUGCUCAGGAGAACAAAGACACAUCACAAAUGCACUUCCACUCCAAGUGCCAGGGGCAGGGGUUUCUUUUUUUAAUCUUCCUUCUGUAUUAGUGAAUCUGCUUAAUAAGGCUUCCCAGGGUAAGUCAUUGCCUGACCCCCAGCCAUCCCCAGGAGGAAAGAGUGAUGGAAGGAACCAAUUGCAGCUCAUACACAGUAGCCUCAAGACCUGAUGAAAAGACAUGGUGGGUAAGUGUGCAGGAGGCUCAGUACAUGAGAAUCUCUGAUUUUUUUCCCUCUAUAACUGCCUGUGUGCUUCAGAACCACUUUUCAUAAUUCCCUUCCCUUACUGUCCUAAAGACCAAACAGCCUCUUACUCCCCCUUUGGAGCAUUUAUGCUCUCUGUUCAUGGAGAACCAGUCCCUAUCACUCCCUACCGAGCCCAAAAAUCCUUCCUGAACAACAUUUAAAAAAAAAAAUCCUUUCUUUGUCUGUCCCAUUCCUGCUGGCCCCCUGCACCUGAGCUGGCUGUAUUUGAGGGGCUCAAGCCUGCAAGUGAUGCUGUUUGCCUCUGAGUCAGAGAGGCUUUUAAAUCUGAGUGUAAAAUGAGCCUCCUCCAGCAGCAAACAGCCCAUCAUACACCUCCUUUGAAGUUCCCAUUUAAAUAACCUCCAGGGCUUUCCUGAUGUGGGAAGCCAGCAAGAGGAAGCAAUUCCCUCCUUCUCCCCUCUCCAAAGCAAGGAAAAUGAAUUCCCUGGCAGAGGGGGGAUGCUGGUUUUCAGGGUACUGCAGAGGAGAUGAACAGCUCUUGUUUGCAGCUUAGUUAGUAAGUCAGCACCUAUUCGUUCAUGGGCACAAUUUAUUAACCCCUGAACACUACAGAUGAUGGUGUUAUCACUGGAAAGUAAUUUUAAUUUGUUAUAUAAUUUAUCAGGUAGCUGCUGCAUCAGAGAGAAGCCUGUAUCUGCUCAUGUGUCCAGGUCCUGGUGUGAUGCUAGGAUGGGAAGAGGAUCAGGGAAACAAAAAGGAGGGGUCCUGGCAGGACUAUGGGAGCUGACCUGGUUGCAGAUGGUUUUUUUGCUGAUUUCCCACCCCUGUGGGUUGUUCCUGGUGCUGCUGCCUCAUUUAAAAGUGGCUGUGUGUUUGCAGGCCUCCAGCUCUACAUGUGAAUUGAUGCUUGGAUUUUUCCUGAAGGUGAACAGACACAGCAGCAGGAGCACAAGUGAGUUUGUGUGACAUCUGACAGCACUGGAGGGAUGUUCAGGGGUGUGUUGGGCAGGAGGGUGUCCUGUGCUAGAUGGGAUCCUGUGAUGUUGGAUGUCAGCAUUUUAUAUUCUUGAGAUAAUAUUAGGGCCUUCCUUAUGGACUGGUGUCAUGUGGCUGCCAAAUGUGAGAGUCCAGUAAAAUCUUCUGAGACAUUUGUAGUUCCUGUGUGCUGCAGUGAUUUAAUGGGACAGCUUUCCAGUGAGACAGCAGGUUUGCCCAUUACUGGAAGGACUGGAAACUGAGGAACCUGGUGAAGUAACAUUCCUACUUGCCUGGAUAUUACUUGUUUGCCAGGCUUUACUAGUGCACCAUCUUAACUGGAGAAUGCCCUGAAGACAUCUUAAGAAAGCCUGAAGCUAAGCAAGCUGCCUGAGGUGGGUUCCUCCUGGGCUCAGAGGUGCAGAACUCAAGGAUCCCUGCAUUUUCAGACUGCUCUUCAACAGGUGUUUGGGGUUUAUCUUCCAGCAGGAGAAAUGUGUGCUUGCCUGAACGUGCUGUUAGUCAGUCCUUGGCCUGACUGAAAGUGUGGGGAGUUCCAAGGCAAUUAUACCUGCACUAAUCAUAAUUUGCUCCUUAAUCUAGGAGUAUCUGCCUCUAUGUCCCUGUUUAUGCUAAGCUGCUGAACAAUUUGAUUAGGUGCUUUGAAUAAACCUUGUAAUUAUGCCAUAGAUACUCCUGAUGCAUGAUGUUAUUUUUAUUAUCUAAGUUAACACUGCCCAUUGUUGUAGCAUGGUUACACUUAGAGGCUGCUAUUAGAGCUGAAGCUCAAUUGUGCUAAAUAUUGCACAGACAUAGAGCUGCAGUCUCUGUCCUGGAGGACUCACAGCUUGGCUGUACUAUUGUGCAUCAGCCCAUUAGAGCACCCUGAGAGGCAUUAGUGCCCCAAAUAGUUUCAUAGGUUCUAUAAUGGAAAUGGCCUUGCAGACCUUUUAACCUGUGAAGGCAGCAGUGCUCCUGAAUUCAGCUUUGUCCAUGCUCUUCCAUCAUUAGCACUGCUUGUUAGACAGAAUCUUGGGAAAUGAUAGUUUCAAAUGUGGUUGGAACAGGCCAAUUCUGCUUUCUCAGUGAGUCCUCCUGAGGGUGGAAGAGUAGAGCCAGGCCACCCUCCUUCAUGUCCCCAGCAUGGUUCUGUUUUGUCAAAAGCAUUACAAUGUGAGCUGAAUUCUUUCCUGGCUGGUUUGUGCUUCACCAGCUUUCCCUGACCUCGUGCCAAUCAAUGAUGAAUUGUACAAGUCCCCACUGAAAACACUGCAGAAGCCAGAGGAAUGCCAGACUCACUGUGUAGUGCAUUAAAUCAAAAUAUUUUAAGCCUGAGACUGAUGAGUAUGAUUCUUCUAUUUCAAUCUGCUCCUUCAGAUUAAAAAGCUGCUAAAAGCUUCAGCUUGUCUUGCUGCAUCUGCUGCUUCAAGACCAGUGAAUGGCAUGUCCAGGACUGGAGGCUGUGGGUAGGAGGAUGAUAUUUUGUGAUAAAUGUACCUGAUGGAGUUCUAUGUUCACAGAGUUUUUUAAAAGCCUUCUACAGCAAAUGAUCAAUCUGUUAGAGAGAAUACUGAAAGAGCAUCUAGCACUCCUUUGGCUGUGAGUGCUGUGAGGAAUCAUUAAUGUCUAAAAGACCACAGACCUCUAACCUAUGCAAAAUUAUGGCAUUUUUGCUUACAUUUCCUUCUUGCCUUACCCUCUUUGCUGGAUUGGCUAUAACUACAGGAUAUUAUUUUGUAAUAUUUUGUGUAUUGGCUCUCUUACUAAUUCUCUAUCCCCAUUUUACAGUUUUGUGGUUAAAAGAUUAAAUAAGCAAAGCAUUUAUAUGAAAAAAACAUAAAAUAACAGAUUGUUGUUGUUUUUCACUUGCUUUGCAUUAAGUUUUCAGUGUCAGAGUUUCAGUGAGGCAGAUUCUGUGGUGAUGGGAAUCAGUGGUGGUAGAGUUGAUUGAUUUGAAUUUAUUGCUAUAAGAAUAUGAGGAUUUCCUGAGUAAGCUGGAAGGUGGGAAUCAUCAGAGACAUAGCUGGUAGAGCCAGUCUGUAAAACCUUUGAAAUGAUGAAAAGGCAUAAAAAUCAGACUUCUUCCUGUUAGACUACUGUGAUCUGUCACAGCACCAGUGGUAGAAGGAGGAGAGGUGCAGAGGCUACAAAAGGCAGCUCAUAUUUCUGGAAAUGGCUGGUGGGAUUUAGAACUGGUUUUAGCUCACAUGAAAUUUUGGGACUGAGGCCAAGUGCUAUUUCUGUAAUUUGAGGUUGACCCAUGGUUAGGAUUAAGGGCUUGAAUUCGAUUUGCUUUAAAUCUGAGGCUGAACUUGGUUGACACCUGCUGGUUGGGAUUCUAGGAAAUCAAAGGGAGCUUCACUGACUGACAUGAAAUUCUGCUUUGAAAUACUGGUGAGAAAUCAAAUAUUUUUCAGCCAUUUUCCAACAACAAAAUGAGAACUCAAACUGGUGAUGCUUGGGAGUGACCUCAGCACCCUCAUUUCUCCUGUUUAAGAAGCUGGAGCUGGCAGAGAAGAGAAAAAAAGACGUCUGGCAAAUAGACAUUGAAUUGGCUUAAUGUAGGGACUGUUUUGCUGCAGUGGAACUGGGGCCUCUUAUUAAGAAUCUGAUGGCACUUCUAAACAAGGAGAGCUGCUCCCUUGGAGGGGGCAAUCUCCAAUCAUAUGCCAACAUUGCUUUUGACAUAUUUAUGACUCCAAUAAAAUCUCCCAUCUGGUAUAUUUUAAAAUAAAAUUGAAAAUUUAUCACUUU